GCAUCAAAAAAUAAAAUAAAUUGCCUGUCAUCACCGAAACAACCUAGAGGAGGAGUAUGAUUCUUCAAUCUCGACCGCGACGGUGAUGGAUUACUCCGGCGGGGCCAGCGGGGAUGGGGCGUAGUGAAGCUAUCAGAGAUGUAUUGCAGCGCACGGAGGCUGCUGCUCUCAGCCCACGUUGAGCGGCUCGCCUCGGUGCCGCUAGCUCGUCGGCGCAGCAGGCCCGGUGGCAGUUGACGGGUGUGGAGGGAGGUGGGGUAGAUCCUGUGUGUGUGUGCUGAUGGACAGGCUCUAGCGCUCAAUCCCUGCCAAGGGCCAGCGUGAUCUCUGGAAGAGGUUUGGUCCGGGCAUGGUUGGUGAUUCCCAGGGUUGCCGGUCUUGAUCUGUGUUGUCCAAUGCUUUUUUUUAUUACACUUGAAGGCGCCUGUGAUUGGGGUGCAAGCCAGACCUGAGGGACGACCAACAGAACAUGCUUGAGAAGACGAUGGCACCCAUCAUGCAGUCGUUCCAUGGGAUCGUGACCUGCAUUGAGAUUUCAGUGUUCUGGGCUUCGCCAGACCGAGAUCAAAAAGACCCCCAUUGUAUCAAUUUACAUUGGUAACACUUUAUUAUGUCAAAUCGUUGAUUGUUCACAAUAACACUGGAAUGCUUAAAAUAUUCGCGUAGUUGCUCGGCCCUCAUGUAAUAUUCCAACAGUGCAUUUUUUGUAAUUUUGAUUGUUCGUAAGAGUUCUAGAUACUAUGCUCGAGUAGAGUAGGUUUACUAUAACAGAUUGUUUAGGAAUCACAAGUGCAGAAGGUCUUCUACCAUCCGCGCGCGGUGUGAGGGUGAAGCAAAUAUUCAUUCUAUGUGACCACGACAGGGAUGGUAUGUAUUCUUUUUGUACUUGAGACUCUUAGAUUUCCAGUGGAGUUUUGGUUUCUCCUGCUGAGAUCGUACACUUGAUGUUUAUACUGUGCAUUCAAGCUAUUUCCACACCUAAGGUCUGUUAGUGUGGAAUCUUAUUUUCCUGUAGUGUGAUUACUAUAUGCACUUAUUUGCAUGUUUUCUCACUUUUAUUUGUAUAAUCGGCCUUCUACAGAAACAGGGCAACAAGAUUCAGGUAUAUGAUUUGAGGUUUGUAGUGGAGAAGAGCUGUGAGAACCUUCAGUUGCUUUGUUUUAUUGCAACACAUGGACAAUUAUCUUUUCUUUUUGGCGAUCACAGGGAGACAAAUAUUGUGGCAAUCAAGUCGGGGGUUCAUGGCAAGGUAUUGACAAUUUUUUAUCAAAAGCAGUUUGCUACACACUGAAGUGUGACAGAAAAUCCGUUUUGAAAAAAGUGUGACAGAAAAGGUGUGCUACUGUUUCCACAUCUCCUUUUGCGAAUCACUAAUGUUUUUCCCAUGUCUUUUCUUCCUUUUUGUAUUGACCCAGAAAUAGUUUCGGCAUUGGAGUCAGUUUCUUUGAUGUUUUCAU
Molecule: long non-coding RNA, 1457 nt
Organism: Triticum dicoccoides
Lineage: Eukaryota; Viridiplantae; Streptophyta; Magnoliopsida; Poales; Poaceae
Exons: 3
Source: RefSeq, a predicted model, not a curated record